Molecule: long non-coding RNA, 1011 nt
Filed under: Phascolarctos cinereus (koala)
Lineage: Eukaryota; Metazoa; Chordata; Mammalia; Diprotodontia; Phascolarctidae
Description: lncRNA (ENSPCIG00000031243.1)
Source: RNAcentral
GCCAAUUACUUGAGUUUUAAACUCUUUGUUAAGGUACGAAUCUGCUUCCAAUGUGGAGAAUGUACUGUCCCAAGCUUCAGGGGUUUGUAUAGCUGUUUUCAGAGAUACUUGUAGUGACCUGUAAAUUUUCAUUUCUUCCAAGGUGGUAUGAUAAGGGGCAAGGCGUUUAAUCCUUUCCUGGCCUGUGACUACAAGUACUCCUUUCUGUCCUGUAACUGUGGUGAGGGGCUGCUCUCCACAACCAUUACAAGCUCCACCAAACCAGCGCUCCUCCUCACCCCAGCACCGCUGCCCAGAACUGUGGCCCAGAUCCAAACACGGGUAAAGCAAGAGAUUCCUGCCUCAGCACUGGCAAAGAGAUCCCUGCAAUCCGUGUCUGAUCAGCCACUGGAUUCCCCCUCAGUCUGUGGGCUGGAAGCUCAGGAAGCAGCUGCCCCCCCACAGGGUCACGCUCUUGGGGAAUGGAGCUGAAAUCCCGCCUUCCUUUCUCAGGCACCGACAGAAACAGACUUUUUCCACUGACCUUCUAAUUUGUCUUUGGCAUUGGUGGAUUGAGAAGUCUGGAAACCUCCACAGCUGCCCGAGAUUCAGUCCUCUGAGGCCUGCUCCAAGUUCGCUGCGGCCUGAGUACCCAUGUGGAGCUGUGCUAUGCUCCCAGCCCAGCGCGAUACACCUUUCAGAUCAAUCAUCCAGGUUGUCUUGGGCUGGAAAUUUGUUUCACUCUGUCUUUUUGUGGGUUCUGCUGCUUCAGAAUUUGUUUAGAGCCAUUUUUUAUGAGUAUUUGGAGGGGUUUGGAGGAGAGCUCAAGCGAGUCACUGCAUUCACUCUGCCAUCUUGGCUCCGCCCAGAAACAGUAAAUAAUUUCAUUAAAGAAAAUGAUAACAAUGAGACAACAUACCAAAAUUUGUGGGGUGCAGCCAAAGGAAUACUUGAGGGAAAAUUUAUAUAUCUAAAUGCUCACAUCCACAAAAUUGAGAAAGAGCAGAUCAACUAAUUGGGCAUGCAACUAAA